GGGUUGUGAGGUUAAGCGACUAAGCGUACACGGUGGAUGCCCUGGCAGUCAGAGGCGAUGAAGGACGUGCUAAUCUGCGAUAAGCGCCGGUAAGGUGAUAUGAACCGUUAUAACCGGCGAUUUCCGAAUGGGGAAACCCAGUGUGAUUCGUCACACUAUCAUUAACUGAAUCCAUAGGUUAAUGAGGCGAACCGGGGGAACUGAAACAUCUAAGUACCCCGAGGAAAAGAAAUCAACCGAGAUUCCCCCAGUAGCGGCGAGCGAACGGGGAGGAGCCCAGAGCCUGAAUCAGCAUGUGUGUUAGUGGAAGCGUCUGGAAAGGCGCGCGAUACAGGGUGACAGCCCCGUACACAAAAGCGCAUGUGCUGUGAGCUCGAUGAGUAGGGCGGGACACGUGGUAUCCUGUCUGAAUAUGGGGGGACCAUCCUCCAAGGCUAAAUACUCCUGACUGACCGAUAGUGAACCAGUACCGUGAGGGAAAGGCGAAAAGAACCCCGGCGAGGGGAGUGAAAAAGAACCUGAAACCGUGUACGUACAAGCAGUGGGAGCACCCUUCGGGGUGUGACUGCGUACCUUUUGUAUAAUGGGUCAGCGACUUAUAUUCUGUAGCAAGGUUAACC
This 620-nucleotide ribosomal RNA is filed under the name Salmonella enterica subsp. enterica serovar Typhimurium. RNAcentral's name for it is "partial 23S ribosomal RNA". It matches the Rfam family "Bacterial large subunit ribosomal RNA", at positions 1 to 651 of the family's 2925-position model. The record is from RNAcentral. Lineage: Bacteria; Pseudomonadati; Pseudomonadota; Gammaproteobacteria; Enterobacterales; Enterobacteriaceae.